Molecule: ribosomal RNA, 496 nt
Filed under: uncultured bacterium
Lineage: Bacteria
Description: partial 16S ribosomal RNA
Rfam family: Bacterial small subunit ribosomal RNA
Source: RNAcentral
GAUGAACGCUGGCGGCGUGCCUAAUACAUGCAAGUCGAGCGAACAGAUAAGGAGCUUGCUCCUUUGACGUUAGCGGCGGACGGGUGAGUAACACGUGGGUAACCUACCUAUAAGACUGGAAUAACUCCGGGAAACCGGGGCUAAUGCCGGAUAACAUUUAGAACCGCAUGGUUCUAAAGUGAAAGAUGGUUUUGCUAUCACUUAUAGAUGGACCCGCGCCGUAUUAGCUAGUUGGUAAGGUAACGGCUUACCAAGGCAACGAUACGUAGCCGACCUGAGAGGGUGAUCGGCCACACUGGAGCUGAGACACGGUCCAGACUCCUACGGGAGGCAGCAGUAGGGAAUCUUCCGCAAUGGGCGAAAGCCUGACGGAGCAACGCCGCGUGAGUGAUGAAGGUCUUCGGAUCGUAAAACUCUGUUAUUAGGGAAGAACAAAUGUGUAAGUAACUGUGCACGUCUUGACGGUACCUAAGCAGAAAGCCACGGCUAACUACGU